CGCAGCCGCGGUAAUUCCAGCUCCAAUAGCGUAUAUUAAAGUUGUUGCAGUUAAAAGCUCGUAGUUGAAUUUCGGGAUUAGUACGCUGGUCGUGCCUUCGGUACGUACUGGUGUUACUGAUUCCUACCUCCUGAAGAACCGUCAUGUCAUUAAUUUGGUGUGGCGGGGAAUCAGGACUGUUACUUUGAAAAAUUAGAGUGUUUAAAGCAGGCUCGCGCUUGAAUACAUUAGCAUGGAAUAAUGAAAUAGGACGUUUGAUUCUAUUUUGUUGGUUUUCUAGGAUUGACGUAAUGAUUAAUAGGGAUAGUUGGGGGCAUUAGUAUUCAAUUGUCAGAGGUGAAAUUCUUGGAUUUAUUGAAGACUAACUACUGCGAAAGCAUUUGCCAAGGAUGUUUUCAUUAAUCAAGAACGAA
Molecule: ribosomal RNA, 413 nt
Filed under: uncultured Glomeromycotina
Lineage: Eukaryota; Fungi; Glomeromycota
Description: SSU rRNA
Rfam family: Eukaryotic small subunit ribosomal RNA
Source: RNAcentral